This 1098-nucleotide long non-coding RNA is filed under the name Delphinapterus leucas (beluga whale). RNAcentral describes it as "lncRNA (ENSDLEG00000000615.1)". Lineage: Eukaryota; Metazoa; Chordata; Mammalia; Artiodactyla; Monodontidae. The record is from RNAcentral.
GAAGUGGCCGGGGGAGGGGGAGGAGGGUGGAAAUGAGGGGCGAGGAGGAGGAAAUUGGGGGGGUGGAGGCGAGACGGGGGAAAGGGGCUGGAGGUGAUGGGGCUGAGGAGGUGAGAAAUCAAGUUCGAUGAAGCCGACUGCCGGGCGGAGUCUGACGGGAGCCAGAGGUGGCGGUGCGGAGCAAUCGGGUUGGCGGGUGGGGAGACCCGGGAGGCGCAGAUCUUGCCGGAGCCUUUGGAACACCCGGGGUGGCAGCUGCGAACGGGCACCGGGAUGUGUUUGGCCCGGGGAGGCGGGAGGCUUCAGUUUGCAGCAGCUUGUAGUGGGGUCCCGUGGGGCACCGCGUCCUGGGUGCGCUGGCGCCCCCUCCCAGUUCGAGUCCGGCGGUGGGGCCGAGUGGGUUCAGCAGUCCAGCCCCGAGGCCAGCAUCGCCGCGCGCUGCCCGCCACCGCCGCUCCGCGCCGCGCGCUGCUGCCCAGCUGCAGGCGUCCGCGCCGCCGCCCGCCCGCCCGCGCCGCUGCCGCCGCCGCCGCCUCCUCCGCGGCGGCCGCCGCUCCCCCCGCGCCGGCUGCACACUCAGAUUCCUCCCGCGGCGGCUGCCAGCCCGGCUCCCCGGCUCGGCUCCUUCCUUUCCCUUCUCCUCUUCUCGCCCUCUCACCGCCACCUCCUCGCAUCCACUCUCUCCUGCUCUUUGCAAAGCACCCCUGACCCUCGUGCUUCGAGGUGCCAGGAGGUAAGUCGCGGGCAGCGGAUCUCGGGGCAACGGAUCUCGAGCCUGCGAAUCGCAGCCGCUGCCGCCGCCCGCCGGCCGCGAGAAGGAGCCCCCGGGGCGCCGCGCGCAGCUUCGGAAGCCGAGAGAGGCGGCCCCGGUCUACGGGGAUCUCGCCUGGUCGCGUCCUCUUGCUUCUCGCCUCCUCCCCCCAAGACAAGGAACCCCCUCUUGGUCGGAGGAGGUUGAAGCUGAGACGCCAGAGAGCCGCCGGCUGAUCUGACUGUCGUUAUUUUUCGUUGUAACUUCAGGAGAGGAGGAAGGAAAAUUCUUGAGCGUCUGUGCUGACUUCUCAGCUCUCUUCACCCUUCCCCCACCCUACCCCCCCU